This is a long non-coding RNA of Tigriopus californicus, 2373 nucleotides long. RefSeq lists it as uncharacterized. Lineage: Eukaryota; Metazoa; Arthropoda; Copepoda; Harpacticoida; Harpacticidae. The record is from RefSeq and is a predicted model, not a curated record. The transcript has 2 exons.
GCGUCCUGACAAAAACGUCCAAAGGGCUAGGAAGCAUCGACUACCAUAUUCAAAUAAAUCGACACUCACAGACUCUAAGGGGCGUUUUGCAGGUGGAUCGGACUUCAUUGUCUCUUGGCCCAAUGAAGGCCAAAAGAAAAGAGCAAGGGCAUGGUUGAAAGUGCAGGUCACGCCUGAUUCGGAAGCUACAAAAGGCGGAGCACUUCUCUACGCGCCAAGGCGAGAACAACUGUCCUCUGGCAAUCAACCAGGACCAAUUCAUCCUCAACCGUGAGUCUGUCUCACUGGACGAUGCAAGUGACUCCUGGACAUUGAAGCGUCCAGACGGGCAUCUUCCAGUGCCAAAUAGGUUGGAUCCUCUUGGCCGGUCGUCUUGAGGUCAAGUGCAGGAGCAGCAUCCACAUUGCUCAUCUGAAUGGAACUGACAAUCAUGCCGCGCACAUGUACCGUCUGGUCCAAUGUCCUCAUUAUUCCCACUUCCUUCAUCCCCUCUCACGGGAUCUUUGACGGGGAAUGCAUCAAUGCAUCUGCAAUUCCAUGGGUUUUGCCUUUGAACUAUUCCAACAUAAGCAAGUACUGAUCCCAUUUCUCCUUCAGACAUUGAAGGGAAGGGUUCUCAACAGCAUCAAGUGAGAAUCCAUUCAUUAUAGGGAUCAAAGGCAUGUGGUUGGUAACCACCACAAAUUUCUAGGCCGCAAGAAGUACAAACAACAUUGGUGGAUGGUCCAAACAAUGGCCAACAGCUCCAACUCACAAACAGCAUAUCUGGACUCCGUGUUGGGUACAAAGGGGAACGACAUUGCACCAUCUUUCAACACCGUUCUGCUCCAUAUCCGUGGUCUUGCAUAAGAGCAAAUCCAAGAUCUUGUAAACUUGACACAUUGGUCAACAUUUUAAUUGGAAUACGGAAUGUUUGAUCAGCUUUUUGUAGUCAACGACUAAUCUGACUCCGUCACCACCAACAAAGGUGCAUCCCAUGGUGAUGGUUCAUUAUUGCCAUCCUCAAUGAUUUUCAUUGUAUUCAUGCGGUCCAAUUCGGCUUUCGUCUCAUCUCGAAAAGCAUACGGGGAUGGCUCUUGCCGUCGUGCAAACAAACAGUUUAUAUCUUCCAUGUCUUUAAGUUGAAUUUCUAUGGGAGGUUCUUUCAUUGCCUUAAAUUCGUUCAUGAGGGAAUCUCUGGUUGCCUCCACCUCCUUUGGAGCUGGCACAGAUGGAAGAACGGUCGAACUGACCACUUUGACCACAUCCCGUACAUAGCGGCGUCGUUUUCAGAACAAGAGAAUAAACGAGGAAUCAUCCUCAGAAGGAUCAUGGCGGACCAGCUCAAAAGUGCAACAUUUGUGUCCUGACUCAUAUAAGCAGUAAUGGAGGUGUGGUAAUGCAACUAUGUCAAUUCAAGCUCAACCAAUCCAUCACAAAUGAAUCCAGCACCAUGGCAACCUCAAUCACUGCCCUUGUAGAGGACUCCAUGAUCUCAGAGACACAACGGGAAAAUACAGUCCGUGGCUCCAGUAUCUGGUAUCUACAGUCUUAAAACCUAACUCCUGACAAAGCAAGAGCACUGACAAUCGCGGUUGAGGAGGCGUUUUACGCUUGGACACUCCUCACCGACACACCUUCUAUCCAAGACACAUUGUUUGGAACUGGCCUUCUUUGCCACAUGCAUAAUACAAUUGAUCGUUGGCAGGACAACCAUGAUCUACGUGCUUGUUAAAACCACCUCUAUUGGACGGCUUGAACCCAGUAGCAGGAUUUCCACGACUAUCGGAUUUUACUAUCACGUUGUUUGACUUGUUUCCUCAUAUUGCACGUCGAAAUUUGCAACCGAUAUUGACAACCGAUCUACCCUGGAGGGCAACCAGAUUGGCACCUUGACUUCGGACCGACUUGUAUUGUCCAUACACAAAAGUUCGCUCUGCAAAUCUUGGCUAUUCACAGCCAAGAUUAGGCGAGAAGUAGAAACUUCUGCCCAACUAAGACAAACAUAAACAUGUCGCUCGCAAAAAUUCUCCCCUUGCUUCUGCUGCAGCGCGUUGAAAGCAUGUCUUCUCCUGACAAUAUUCAAAGACUUGGCCAGAUUUUGUUAAACUUACUCAACACUUCCACAAUCGGUUCCUCCUCGGUCACAUCCAAGUACUGCGAGAUCAUUUGGAUUAUACCAACAUCCAUGCAGCCUCGCAACAGCACACUGUUCCCUCAAUGAGAAUUACUAAUUUCAUUACAGAAAUGGGGCCACUUUUUGUCACUAGUAGCACAGAGUUACCAAAGCCGUAUUUCUCGUGCAGCCGCGGCCAUGAUUUUCGAGGAUGAUUGACCUGGUCCGACGUGUUCGUUUUUUCUCACCUGACUCUGGUCGAGGAGAAGAGGGUUGUG